CCUACGGGAGGCAGCAGUGAGGAAUAUUGGUCAAUGGACGCAAGUCUGAACCAGCCAUGCCGCGUGCAGGAAGACGGCCCUCUGAGUGGUAAACUCUUUUUGUACGAGGGUAAACGCAGAUUCGUGUAUCUGUCUGAAAGGAUCGUACGAAUAAGGAUCGGCUAACUUCGUGCCAGCAGCCGCGGGAAUACGGAGGAUUCAAGCGUUAUCCGGAUUUAUUGGGUUUAAAGGGUGCGUAGGCGGUCGGAUAAGUUAGAGGUGAAAUCCCGAGGCUCAACUUCGGAAUUGCCUUUGAUACUGGGCGGCUAGAGUGUAGUAGGGGUAGGCAGAAUG
RNAcentral lists this ribosomal RNA (333 nucleotides) under uncultured bacterium. RNAcentral's name for it is "partial 16S ribosomal RNA". It matches the Rfam family "Bacterial small subunit ribosomal RNA", at positions 338 to 668 of the family's 1533-position model. The record is from RNAcentral.